UGCCAAGAACCAUGAGGAAAUUGUCUCCCCUUAUGGAUCUGGUAAAUUAACCAAUGAAGGAG
The submitters of this non-coding RNA (62 nucleotides) gave its source as unclassified sequences. The record is from Rfam.